UGUGAACUAGCCGAUAAUACAAACCAUUGUCAAUAUUUACAGUUAAACGUGUUAUAAAAACGGCAAAAAAAAUUAAUCUAAAAAAAACAGAAUGGGUUGCAUCAUCUGUAGUCCCAAAGAAACAAAGAUUUUCAUUUUGCCGCCAAUGAAUGAAAAUGAUAACGAACCGCCACGAUAUGUUACGGUGCAGCCAGGACAGAUCAUAAACCAUCCGUAUGUGUCCUCAGGUGUUAUUCAACGAGCGGAGGAAUUGGCUGAUAAGUAUUAGGUCUAUCUGUUCGAGCUUGAGUGAAGUGUAUUGCUCUGAUAAGGAAAAGAAGAAGGUGAAGUCUGUGGAGUUUCCAAUUUAUUGUUUCAUUGUAAUGAUAAAAAAUUGAUCUGCCAAAUAUGUUGAAAUUUUUCCCUUUUCAA
Long non-coding RNA from Bradysia coprophila, 411 nucleotides. Lineage: Eukaryota; Metazoa; Arthropoda; Insecta; Diptera; Sciaridae. The record is from RefSeq and is a predicted model, not a curated record.